UACGGAGGAUGCGAGCGUUAUCCGGAUUUAUUGGGUUUAAAGGGUGCGUAGGCGGCAGAUUAAGUUAGAGGUGAAAUUCCGAGGCUCAACCUUGGCACUGCCUCUGAUACUGUUCGGCUAGAGAGUAGUUGCGGUAGGCGGAAUGUAUGGUGUAGCGGUGAAAUGCUUAGAGAUCAUACAGAACACCGAUUGCGAAGGCAGCUUACCAAGCUACUUCUGACGUUGAGGCACGAAAGCGUGGGUAUCGAACAGG
Molecule: ribosomal RNA, 253 nt
Filed under: uncultured Rikenellaceae bacterium
Lineage: Bacteria; Pseudomonadati; Bacteroidota; Bacteroidia; Bacteroidales; Rikenellaceae
Description: partial 16S ribosomal RNA
Rfam family: Bacterial small subunit ribosomal RNA
Source: RNAcentral